Molecule: ribosomal RNA, 274 nt
Filed under: uncultured bacterium
Lineage: Bacteria
Description: partial 16S ribosomal RNA
Rfam family: Archaeal small subunit ribosomal RNA
Source: RNAcentral
AAACCAGCACCUCAAGUGGUCAGGAUGAUUAUUGGGCCUAAAGCAUCCGUAGCCUGAUCUGUAAGUUUUCGGUUAAAUCUGUACGCUCAACGUACAGGCUGCCGGGAAUACUGCAGAGCUAGGGAGUGGGAGAGGUAGACGGUACUCGGGAGGAAGUGGUAAAAUGCUUUGAUCUCUCGAUGACCACCUGUGGCGAAGGCGGUCUACCAGAACAUGUCCGACGGUGAGGGAUGAAAGCUGGGGGAGCAAACCGGAUUAGAAACCCCAGUAGUCC